GACGAACGCUGGCGGCGUGCUUAACACAUGCAAGUCGAACGGAAAGGCCCUGCUUUUGUGGGGUGCUCGAGUGGCGAACGGGUGAGUAACACGUGAGUAACCUGCCCUUGACUUUGGGAUAACUUCAGGAAACUGGGGCUAAUACCGGAUAGGAGCUCCUGCUGCAUGGUUGGGGUUGGAAAGUUUCGGCGGUUGGGGAUGGACUCGCGGCUUAUCAGCUUGUUGGUGGGGUAGUGGCUUACCAAGGCUUUGACGGGUAGCCGGCCUGAGAGGGUGACCGGCAACAUUGGGACUGAGAUACGGCCAAGACUCCUACGGGAGGCAGCAGUGGGGAAUAUUGAACAAUGGGCGGAAGCCUGAUGCAGCAACGCCGCGUGCGGGAUGACGGCCUUCGGGUUGUAAACCGCUUUCGCCUGUGACGAAGCGUGAGUGACGGUAAUGGGUAAAGAAGCACCGGCUAACUACGUG
RNAcentral lists this ribosomal RNA (468 nucleotides) under uncultured bacterium. RNAcentral's name for it is "partial 16S ribosomal RNA". It matches the Rfam family "Bacterial small subunit ribosomal RNA", at positions 28 to 507 of the family's 1533-position model. The record is from RNAcentral.